GCGGCUUUGGUCCAAUGGUUAGGAUUUUGUGCUUCCACCACAAAGGUUCGUGUUCGAUUCACGAAAGUCGCA
This 72-nucleotide transfer RNA is filed under the name Niveomyces insectorum RCEF 264. RNAcentral's name for it is "Sporothrix insectorum RCEF 264 tRNA". It matches the Rfam family "tRNA". Rfam says of the family: Transfer RNA (tRNA) molecules are approximately 80 nucleotides in length. Their secondary structure includes four short double-helical elements and three loops (D, anti-codon, and T loops). Further hydrogen bonds mediate the characteristic L-shaped molecular structure. tRNAs have two regions of fundamental functional importance: the anti-codon, which is responsible for specific mRNA codon recognition, and the 3' end, to which the tRNAs corresponding amino acid is attached (by aminoacyl-tRNA synthetases). tRNAs cope with the degeneracy of the genetic code in two manners: having more than one tRNA (with a specific anti-codon) for a particular amino acid; and 'wobble' base-pairing, i.e. permitting non-standard base-pairing at the 3rd anti-codon position. The record is from Rfam by way of RNAcentral. Lineage: Eukaryota; Fungi; Ascomycota; Sordariomycetes; Hypocreales; Cordycipitaceae.